AGACUGAGGGACAGAGAGAGAGACUGACUGAGAGAGAGAGAGAGACUGACAGAGAGAGAGAGACUGAGAGAGAGAGAGACUGAGAGAGACUGACUGAGAGAGAGAGAGACUGAGAGAGACAGACUGAGAGAGAGAGAGACUGACUGAGAGAGAGACUGACUGACUGAGAGAGAGACUGACUGAGAGAGAGAGUGACUGACUGAGAGAGAGAGACUGAGAGAGAGACUGACUGAGAGAGAGACAGACUGAGAGAGAGAGUGACUGACUGAGAGAGAGACAGACUGAGAGAGAGAGUGACUGACUGAGAGAGAGACAGACUGAGAGAGAGAGACUGAGUGAGAGAGAGAGACUGACUGAGAGAGAGAGACUGACUGAGAGAGAGAGACUGACUGAGAGAGAGAGAGACUGACUGAGAGAGAGAGAGACUGACUG
Non-coding RNA from Pelobates cultripes (western spadefoot toad), 432 nucleotides. The record is from the annotation of a GenBank genome assembly. NCBI's taxonomy places the organism in Eukaryota, Metazoa, Chordata, Amphibia, Anura, Pelobatidae.